GACGAACGCUGGUGGCGUGCUUAACACAUGCAAGUCGAACGGAAAGGCCCUGCUUGCAGGGUACUCGAGUGGCGAACGGGUGAGUAACACGUGGGUGAUCUGCCCUGCACUUCGGGAUAAGCCUGGGAAACUGGGUCUAAUACCGGAUAGGAGCCAUUUUUAGUGUGAUGGUUGGAAAGUUUUUUCGGUGUAGGAUGAGCUCGCGGCCUAUCAGCUUGUUGGUGGGGUAAUGGCCUACCAAGGCGGCGACGGGUAGCCGGCCUGAGAGGGUGGACGGCCACAUUGGGACUGAGAUACGGCCCAGACUCCUACGGGAGGCAGCAGUGGGGAAUAUUGCACAAUGGGCGCAAGCCUGAUGCAGCGACGCCGCGUGGGGGAUGACGGCCUUCGGGUUGUAAACUCCUUUCGCUAGGGACGAAGCUUUUGUGACGGUACCUAGAGAAGAAGCACCGGCUAACUACGUG
RNAcentral lists this ribosomal RNA (464 nucleotides) under uncultured bacterium. RNAcentral describes it as "partial 16S ribosomal RNA". It matches the Rfam family "Bacterial small subunit ribosomal RNA", at positions 28 to 507 of the family's 1533-position model. The record is from RNAcentral.